AUUGAACGCUGGCGGCAUGCCUUACACAUGCAAGUCGAACGGCAGCACGGGAGCAAUCCUGCCGGCGAGUGGCGAACGGGUGAGUAAUGCAUCGGAACGUGCCCUGUAGUGGGGGAUAACUAGUCGAAAGAUUAGCUAAUACCGCAUACGACCUGAGGGUGAAAGUGGGGGACCGCAAGGCCUUAUGCUAUAGGAGCGGCCGAUGUCUGAUUAGCUAGUUGGUGGGGUAAAGGCCUACCAAGGCGACGAUCAGUAGCUGGUCUGAGUGGACGAUCAGCCACACUGGGACUGAGACACGGCCCAGACUCCUACGGGAGGCAGCAGUGGGGAAUUUUGGACAAUGGGCGGAAGCCUGAUCCAGCAAUGCCGCGUGUGUGAAGAAGGCCUUCGGGUUGUAAAGCACUUUUGUCCGGAAAGAAAUGGCUCUGGUUAAUACCUGGGGUCGAUGACGGUACCGGAAGAAUAAGGACCGGCUAACUACGUGCCAGCCGCCGCCGUAA
Molecule: ribosomal RNA, 500 nt
Filed under: uncultured bacterium
Lineage: Bacteria
Description: partial 16S ribosomal RNA
Rfam family: Bacterial small subunit ribosomal RNA
Source: RNAcentral